GGCCAUAUCACGUUGAUACAUUGGUUCUCGUAGGUUCACCGAAGUUAAGCAACGUGAAAAUUGGUCAGUACCCAGAUGGGUGACCGCUUGGGAAUACCAGGUGCUGUAC
Non-coding RNA from Acanthosepion pharaonis, 109 nucleotides. The record is from the annotation of a GenBank genome assembly. NCBI's taxonomy places the organism in Eukaryota, Metazoa, Mollusca, Cephalopoda, Sepiida, Sepiidae.